CUUCCAUCCCACUCUCUCUAUUCCCAAAAUAUCACAAAGUAUUCUCUCCCUCUCCUUUCUCUUUUUUUUUUUAUUCUUUCGUGGGAACUUGGCUUCUCCCCGCCCUCUGAGAAGAUGAUCAGCCGACUCCCUUCGGUAAGGAAGAAGGGAAUGCCCCCCCCGGUGGGGAAGGAGGAAUGCCCCCCGGUGGGGGAAGAGGGAAUGAAUGCUCCUCUGUUCACGCUUGACCCCUUUUAUAGGCUGCCCACCUCCAUCUCUCCUCCUCCCUAUUUCCCUUCGAGAUAAGGAUAGAUUAAAGUGGGAUAAGGCUGCGAGAUCUCUGCUUAAUCUGCGUUGUAGAUGCCGGCUCUGGUCCCGAUCACUUGAACAACCUGUGAGGAUAAGCUUUGAUUUCGUUUUCUUGUAAC
This 407-nucleotide long non-coding RNA is filed under the name Phoenix dactylifera (date palm). RNAcentral describes it as "long non-coding RNA (PDAC_LNC018299)". Lineage: Eukaryota; Viridiplantae; Streptophyta; Magnoliopsida; Arecales; Arecaceae. The record is from RNAcentral.